RNAcentral lists this ribosomal RNA (485 nucleotides) under uncultured Actinomycetes bacterium. RNAcentral describes it as "bacterial SSU rRNA". It matches the Rfam family "Bacterial small subunit ribosomal RNA", at positions 38 to 510 of the family's 1533-position model. Lineage: Bacteria; Bacillati; Actinomycetota; Actinomycetes. The record is from RNAcentral.
GGCGGCGCGCUUAACACAUGCAAGUCGAGCGAGAACCAGGCCUUCGGGCCUGGGGAAAGCGGCGAACGGGUGAGUAACACGUGGGUAACCCACCCUUGGUACCGGGAUAGCCCGAGGAAACUCGGAUUAAUACCGGAUGGCCCAACAGCUUCUCGGAGCGGUUGGAAAAGGUAGCUUCGGCCUCCGACCAAGGACGGGCCCGCGGUGGAUUAGCUUGUUGGUGAGGUAACGGCUCACCAAGGCUUCGAUCCAUAGCUGGUCUGAGAGGACGAUCAGCCACACUGGGACUGAGACACGGCCCAGACUCCUACGGGAGGCAGCAGUGGGGAAUCUUGCGCAAUGGGCGAAAGCCUGACGCAGCGACGCCGCGUGGGGGAAGAAGGCUUUCGGGUUGUAAACCCCUUUCAGGAAGGACGAAGCCACUCGGGUUAAUAGCCCAGAGGGUGACGGUACUUCCAGAAGAAGCCCCGGCUAACUACGUGCCA